RNAcentral lists this long non-coding RNA (553 nucleotides) under Linum usitatissimum (flax). RNAcentral describes it as "long non-coding RNA (LUSI_LNC001837)". Lineage: Eukaryota; Viridiplantae; Streptophyta; Magnoliopsida; Malpighiales; Linaceae. The record is from RNAcentral.
GCGCCACCGAGGUGUUUGAUUUAUCCACAUUUUUUCGCUUCGACUUGGCGGACUUUGCUUUGAUCUUUUCAGCUUUAGAUUGCUGCAGUCAACAAUGGGUUAAAGCAUUAGAGGACUUCCUCUUUGUAAGUUUAUAAAAGAAGCAGAAAAACAAAAACUAUGAACCUGAUGUGCCAACCAAGAAUCAUUCCUUCUCUGCUUCGCGUCCUGCCUGGCUUCUUUCCGCUUCUCUCGGCGUGACUCACCUACCAUCUCCCCUCCAAUCCAAUUCAAUUCACGCCAAAACCACUGCAAAAGGUAAGUGCAUGAAUCAAUAAUUAUUUUGUUUGGAAGAGAAAACCAGUGGAGGAGAUGUUCAUAGAGAUGAAUACAGCGUACCUCUUAAAGUAAUUGCAGAAGAAGGGUUGGACUGAUGACUUUCGAGUUCCGACUUCCAACUUCAGACGAUUUUCAACACUUAACUGGAGUAAUGGAGUUUCAAGUCCAAGUUAGUUCCCAAGACGGGAGGGGCAGGGGGAGGGUCGGAGGGAGGUGUUGCCGCUUGCCGGCGGUG